ACGGAAGGCAGCAGUGGGGGAUAUUGCACAACGGGCGAAAGCCUGAUGCAGCAACGCCGCGUGAGGGAAGACGGUUUUCGGAUUGUAAACCUCUGUCUUUGGUGAAAAAAAUGACGGUAGCCAAGGAGGAAGCCACGGCUAACUACGUGCCAGCAGCCGCGGUAAUACGUAGGUGGCAAGCGUUGUCCGGAAUUACUGGGUGUAAAGGGAGCGCAGGCGGGACUGCAAGUUGGAUGUGAAAUACCGCAGCUUGACUGCGGAGCUGCAUCCAAAACUGUAGUUCUUGAGUGGAGUAGAGGUAGGCGGAAUUCCGAGUGUAGCGGUGAAAUGCGUAGAUAUUCGGAGGAACACCAGUGGCGAAGGCGGCCUACUGGGCUCUUACUGACGCUGAGGCUCGAAAGUGUGGGGAGCAAACAGGAUUAGAUACCCUGGUA
Molecule: ribosomal RNA, 434 nt
Filed under: uncultured Clostridiales Family IV bacterium
Lineage: Bacteria; Bacillati; Bacillota; Clostridia; Eubacteriales; Eubacteriales Family IV. Incertae Sedis
Description: bacterial SSU rRNA
Rfam family: Bacterial small subunit ribosomal RNA
Source: RNAcentral